CGGCGUGCUUAACACAUGCAAGUCGAACGGGAAUUACUUUAUUGAAACUUCGGUCGAUUUAAUUUAAUUCUAGUGGCGGACGGGUGAGUAACGCGUGGGUAACCUGCCUUAUACAGGGGGAUAACAGUCAGAAAUGGCUGCUAAUACCGCAUAAGCCCACGGGUCGGCAUCGACCAGAGGGAAAAGGAGCAAUCCGCUUUGAGAUGGCCUCGCGUCCGAUUAGCUAGUUGGUGAGGUAACGGCCCACCAAGGCAACGAUCGGUAGCCGGACUGAGAGGUUGAACGGCCACAUUGGGACUGAGACACGGCCCAGACUCCUACGGGAGGCAGCAGUGGGGAAUAUUGCACAAUGGGGGAAACCCUGAUGCAGCGACGCCGCGUGGAGGAAGAAGGUCUUCGGAUUGUAAACUCCUGUUGUUGAGGAAGAUAAUGACGGUACUCAACAAGGAAGUGACGGCUAACUACGUGCCAGCAGCCGCGGUAAAACGUAGGUUACAAGCGUUGUCCGGAAUUACUGGGUGUAAAGGGAGCGCAGGCGGGAAGACAAGUUGGAAGUGAAAUCCAUGGGCUCAACCCAUGAACUGCUUUCAAAACUGUUUUUCUUGAGUAGUGCAGAGGUAGGCGGAAUUCCCGGUGUAGCGGUGGAAUGCGUAGAUAUCGGGAGGAACACCAGUGGCGAAGGCGGCCUACUGGGCACCAACUGACGCUGAGGCUCGAAAGUGUGGGUAGCAAACAGGAUUAGAUACCCUGGUAGUCCACACCGUAAAC
Molecule: ribosomal RNA, 768 nt
Filed under: uncultured bacterium
Lineage: Bacteria
Description: bacterial SSU rRNA
Rfam family: Bacterial small subunit ribosomal RNA
Source: RNAcentral